ACGGGAGGCAGCAGCUAAGAAUAUUCCGCAAUGGACGAAAGUCUGACGGAGCGACGCCGCGUGGAUGAAGAAGGCCGGAAGGUUGUAAAAUCCUUUUAAACAGGAAGAAUAAGUACUGAAGGGAAUGUCAGUAUGGUGACGGUACUGUUUGAAUAAGCAACGGCUAAUUACGUGCCAGCAGCCGCGGUAACACGUAAGUUGCGAGCGUUGUUCGGAAUUAUUGGGCGUAAAGGGUAUGUAGGCGGUUCUGAAAGCUUGGUGUGAAAGGCAGAGGCUUAACCUCUGGACUGCAUUGAGAACUGCAGGACUAGAAUUACUGAAGGGCAGCUAGAAUUCCAUGUGUAGGGGUGAAAUCUGUAGAUAUGUGGAAGAAUACCAAUGGCGAAGGCAAGCUGCUGGCAGAUGAUUGACGCUGAGGUACGAAAGUGCGGGGAGCAAACAGGAUUAGAUACCCUGGUA
This 459-nucleotide ribosomal RNA is filed under the name uncultured Treponema sp. RNAcentral describes it as "bacterial SSU rRNA". It matches the Rfam family "Bacterial small subunit ribosomal RNA", at positions 341 to 792 of the family's 1533-position model. Lineage: Bacteria; Pseudomonadati; Spirochaetota; Spirochaetia; Treponematales; Treponemataceae. The record is from RNAcentral.